GAUGAACGCUAGCGGUAGGCUUAACACAUGCAAGUCGAGGGGUAACAGGGUAGCAAUACUGCUGACGACCGGCGCACGGGUGAGUAACGCGUAUGCAAUCUGCCUUUAACUGGAGAACAGCUUCGAGAAAUCGGAAUUAAUACUCCAUAAUAUUAACGAAUCGCAUGGUUUGUUAAUUAAAGCUCCGGCGGUUAAAGAUGAGCAUGCGUGACAUUAGUUUGUUGGUGAGGUAACGGCUCACCAAGACUACGAUGUCUAGGGGGUCGUGAGAGGAUGGUCCCCACACUGGUACUGAGACACGGACCAGACUCCCACGGGAGGCAGCAGUGAGGAAUAUUGGUCAAUGGCGCGAAGCUGAACCAGCCAUACGCGUGAAGGAUGAAGGCUCUAGUAGUUGUAAACUUCUUUUAUAUGGGAAGAAACUAGCUCUCGUGAGAGUAGUU
Molecule: ribosomal RNA, 443 nt
Filed under: uncultured bacterium
Lineage: Bacteria
Description: bacterial SSU rRNA
Rfam family: Bacterial small subunit ribosomal RNA
Source: RNAcentral